Erwinia tasmaniensis is the source of this 126-nucleotide non-coding RNA. Lineage: Bacteria; Pseudomonadati; Pseudomonadota; Gammaproteobacteria; Enterobacterales; Erwiniaceae. The record is from Rfam.
ACGCGGUGUUGACCGUGCAGGGUUUGAACCUGCAGCAGGUUCGAGUUGAACGCAGUGAGACAACGUUGCCAGCGGCAACGGCCCAGAGGGCGAGGCGCAGCCGAAGUCAUCCUGCACGACCCACCA